This 253-nucleotide ribosomal RNA is filed under the name uncultured bacterium. RNAcentral describes it as "partial 16S ribosomal RNA". It matches the Rfam family "Bacterial small subunit ribosomal RNA", at positions 524 to 776 of the family's 1533-position model. The record is from RNAcentral.
UACGGGGGGGGUAAGCGUUGUUCGGAAUUACUGGGCGUAAAGGGCUCGUAGGCGGCCAACUAAGUCAUACGUGAAAUCCCUCAGCUUAACUGGGGAACUGCGUGUGAUACUGGAUGGCUUGGAUUUGGGAGAGGGAUGCGGAAUUCCAGGUGUAGCGGUGAAAUGCGUAGAUAUCUGGAGGAACCCCGGUGGCGAAGGCGGCAUCCUGGACCAAUAUUGACGCUGAGGAGCGAAAGCCAGGGGAGCAAACGGG